UAGUCAGGUGCCCUGCGGGGCUUAAUAGGGAAGACCGGUGUAACGCCGGCGCGGUCCCGCCACUGUAAUGGGGAGCAAACCCGAUAAAAGCCACUGGGAGAUAUCCUGGGAAGGCCGGGGGAGCGAGGAACCAGAGCCAGGAGAACUGCCUGAUUAC
This 157-nucleotide non-coding RNA is filed under the name uncultured Anaerosporomusa sp. Lineage: Bacteria; Bacillati; Bacillota; Negativicutes; Acetonemataceae. The record is from RNAcentral.